Molecule: ribosomal RNA, 253 nt
Filed under: uncultured bacterium
Lineage: Bacteria
Description: partial 16S ribosomal RNA
Rfam family: Bacterial small subunit ribosomal RNA
Source: RNAcentral
GACAGAGGGGGCAAGCGUUGCUCGGAAUCACUGGGCGUAAAGGGCGCGUAGGCGGGAUGGCAAGUCGGUCGUGAAAUCCUUCGGCUCAACCGAAGAACGUCGGCCGAUACUGCCGUUCUUGAGGGAUGCAGAGGAGAUUGGAAUUCCCGGUGUAGCGGUGAAAUGUGUAGAGAUCGGGAGGAACACCGGUGGCGAAGGCGGGUCUCUGGGCAUCUCCUGACGCUGAGGCGCGAAGGCGUGGGGAGCAAACGGG